RNAcentral lists this ribosomal RNA (1575 nucleotides) under Triticum aestivum (bread wheat). RNAcentral's name for it is "partial small subunit ribosomal RNA". Lineage: Eukaryota; Viridiplantae; Streptophyta; Magnoliopsida; Poales; Poaceae. The record is from RNAcentral.
AUGAGAGAUGUCGCUGAGUCAUGUCGUUCAUCAUUUAGAGGCCAUAUUUACAAUAUAAGGCCUCUUAAUAUGAUGCACGCACAACAGUUAUUUCACGGAAGGUUGUUCAACUCUAAAGAAGAUUGCCCUGCCCACCUUAAAGUAGUUAUGGAUAAAAUAUUGAAAAAAUGUGAUGGUUUACCUUUGGCAAUCAUUGCAAUUUCUGGUCUAUUAUCUAACACGGAAACAACGGUGCUUCUUUGGAAUCAAGUGGAAAUUUCGAUUGGCCGUGCACUUGAAAGGAAUUCUAGUGUGGAAAGAAUGAUGAACAUAUUAUCACUCAGUUACUUUGAUCUCCCUCCUCAUCUAAAAACCUGUCUUUUAUAUCUGAGUAUAUUUCCAGAGGAUUCUAUUAUUGAGAAGAAAGUUGUCAUAAGGAGAUGGAUUGUUGAAGGAUUCAUUCGGAAGGAAGGCAGGUACAUGGUAUAUGAAUUAGGAGAAAGAUGUUUCAAUGAGCUCAUCAAAAGGAGUUUGAUCCAACCCGUGGAGUCCGAUAGAUAUGAUAGGACGAUGAGAUUUCGAGUUCAUGACACAAUUCUUGAUUUCAUCAUAUCCAAGUCCGUCGAAGAGAACUUUGUCACUUUUGUCGGUCUUCCCGGAAUAGCUGCUGGGACGCAGAGGAAAGUUCGUCGUCUGUCUCUCCAAGUCGGCAACCAAAGGAAAUUGUUACUACCAAAGGAUCUAAUAUUGUCGCAUGUCCGAUCUUUAAAUGUGUUUGCGGAUUCCAUGGAAAUCCCUUCUCUAGAUGAGUUCAUGCAUUUGCGUGUUCUAGACUUUGGUGGAUGUUGUCAAUUGGAAAACCAUCAUCUAGUAAAUAUAGGGAGGUUGUUUCAUUUAAAGUACUUGAACCUCAGGCACCUUGGGGUAAGUGAGCUUCCAGAACAAAUCAAGCAUCUACAAUACCUUGACAUGUUGGACCUAAGAGACACCAAUGUACGUGAAUUGCCGAGAGCAAUUGUCAAUCUCAGUAGCUUGGUCUAUCUACUUGUUGACAAUGGUGUGACAUUUCCUGGUGGAGUUUUGAAAAUGCAAGCAUUGGAGAUAUUGAAACAGGUCGAAGCCCUCGGUCAGUCAUUGAACUUUCUCCAAGAACUUGGGCAGCUGAAGAAUCUGAGGAAGAUAUACCUUGAUCUGUUUGAUGUUCCAGUAGUUGGGGUUACCAAGGAGUGCAGCAAGAGUUUCAUUGCAUACCAAUCUCUCUGCAACCUCGGCACGCAGAACCUUCGUUCUGUAACUAUCUGGCAUGGCGGUGGCUUCUUACUGGAACCAUGGUACCCUGCUCUGCGUAGCCUCGAGAAGCUAAUUACCUGGCGUUCCGCAGUUCCUCAUGUUCCAGAGUGGGUGGGUUCCCUCGUCAACCUGCAGAAGUUACGCCUUGAAGUGGAGAGUCUUGGGCAACCAGAUCUGUGUAUACUUGCAACCUUGCCUGCUCUUCUCACUCUGGACCUCGAAAAAACAACAAAAUCAUCAGAAGGCAAGCUCAACGUCAGUGGAGGAGAUGGGUUCCGAUUCCUGAGGAACUUACGUAUAAUAUGA